GGGGGCGCCUUGGCUUCGACGGGGACGCGGACGCUGUAUGGGGCAUGUCGAGGUGCAGUCACCUCGUAAAUCCGCUGCAAACAAUUAAACGCCAACAACAAGCGUUUCGCUCUCGCUGCUUAAUGCGAGAUGCUGCACCGGUUUGUCUCUGGGCCGGGUCGAGCAAUCGACAGCAGUAUCAUUUGACAGAGUCUAGGAUGUGCGGGCGUCACCGACGCGCUUCCGAAAUCAAGGUGACUGGCUGGAUGCCGGCCCGCCGCUCGGCAGGGCAUCCGGUGAGAUUCAAAUCAUGCGGCUAAGCAUGUAGACCCAACAGAAAAAGGUUUCCGGACGCGGGUUCAACUCCCGCCGCCUCCACCA
Non-coding RNA from Sutterella wadsworthensis 2_1_59BFAA, 360 nucleotides. It matches the Rfam family "transfer-messenger RNA". Rfam says of the family: Bacterial tmRNA, also known as 10Sa RNA or SsrA, is named for its dual tRNA and mRNA-like properties. Its role is to liberate the mRNA from a stalled ribosome. The record is from Rfam. Lineage: Bacteria; Pseudomonadati; Pseudomonadota; Betaproteobacteria; Burkholderiales; Sutterellaceae.